UUGACCUCAAAUCAGGUAGGACUACCCGCUGAACUUAAGCAUAUCAAUAAGCGGAGGAAAAGAAACUAACAAGGAUUCCCCUAGUAACUGCGAGUGAAGCGGGAAAAGCUCAAAUUUGAAAUCUGAUGGUUUUUGACCGUCCGAGUUGUAAUCUAGAGAAGUGUUUACCCGUGCUGGACUGUGUACAAGUCUCCUGGAAUGGGGCAUCGUAGAGGGUGAGAAUCCCGUCUUUGACACGGACUGCCAGUGCACUAUGGGUGUGCUCUCGAAGAGUCGAGUUGUUUGGGAAUGCAGCUCAAAAUGGGUGGUAAAUGCCAUCUAAAGCUAAAUAUUGGCGAGAGACCGAUAGCGAACAAGUACCGUGAGGGAAAGAUGAAAAGAACUUUGGAAAGAGAGUUAAACAGUACGUGAAAUUGCUGAAAGGGAAACGCUUGAAGUCAGUCGCGUUGGCCAGAAAUCAGCCUUGCUUUUGCUUGGUGUAUUUUCUUGUCUUUACGGGUCAGCAUCAAUCUUGACCAUUGGAUAAGGUCUGUGGGAAUGUGGCAUCUUUGGAUGUGUUAUAGCCCAUGGUCGCAUACGGUGGUUGGGAUUGAGGAACUCAGCACGCCCGCGAGGGACGGGUUUCGACCACGUUUUCGUGCUUAGGAUGCUGGCAUAAUGGCUUUAAUCGACCCGU
Molecule: ribosomal RNA, 676 nt
Filed under: Inocybe xanthomelas
Lineage: Eukaryota; Fungi; Basidiomycota; Agaricomycetes; Agaricales; Inocybaceae
Description: eukaryotic LSU rRNA
Rfam family: Eukaryotic large subunit ribosomal RNA
Source: RNAcentral